RNAcentral lists this long non-coding RNA (267 nucleotides) under Ananas comosus (pineapple). Its description in RNAcentral is "long non-coding RNA (ACOM_LNC037531)". Lineage: Eukaryota; Viridiplantae; Streptophyta; Magnoliopsida; Poales; Bromeliaceae. The record is from RNAcentral.
UUUUUUUUCUUCUUUCAAUUAUACUCUUUUUGCCCCCUCAUCUACCUCAUGUAAUUUAACCCCCUACAAUUAUUAAAUUAUUAAUUAAUUUUUUAGCUUCUUUCAAUUAUACACUUUGAAUUCUAUCACUAACAUACCUGCUGUGACGCUUCAUCUUCCUACUCAAUAAAUGAAUAGAUUUGGAAUGAAAAAAGAAGUGAGAAAAAGGGAGUAGUAGUGAUGGGGGGAAGCUCAUGAGGGAGAUUAAAUGGGGUUGUGGGUUUUGAU